CUUGCUAACGAGUGGUUAGCAGUUGCUAACCGCAUUAACCUAGUUAGCAAAACACAAUAAAAAGUUACAUCUAAAUAGCUAACGUUAGAUACAACGCCAAAUACGAUUUAGCGGUUUGUUGUCAUUUAGCUAGCUAUCUAGCUAGCUCGUUAGCUAGCUAUGAAGUUGGCUGGCUAGCUUGGUCAGAUCAGUUGAAUGGUAAUUUUUAUAGCCCAUGUAUGUAUUGGAAAGACACGGGUAGUAGGAAAUGGGUGAAUUAUAUUUGUUUUUAGCAGCGAGUCUGAUUCCCGGGUGGGUUUGAAAUAGAACUUACAGUAUUUAUCAAUAUUAAAUACAUGAAUAAUUGCUGCUGGUGACUGGUUGUACCGUAAAGUGACGUUGACUUUCCUUUUUAAAAUAAGUUGUUCUGUCAGAUAUCUAACAAUCGACUGUUUUCAGUUUAGAGAUUGUCAUCAGGGCUUUUUGAUGAGUUUGUUUUUGUAGUUUAUUGGUGCAAAAUGGAUGUUAAGAUAGAGGACGAUGAAGCAGAGAGAUCCCAAGUAACCAUUUGGUCUGAUUCAAUUAAUGCCUGUAUAGAUUACCCACAUUCUCCAGUGUCAGGAAACACAGAAACAAGUUAUCUGGAAACCAAAACCGAUUCAACAUAUGAACAUGACUAUACAGUGAUCCAAACUACCAACAAUUUAUCAGACAGUUAUUGUCUUUCUGAGAUUGAUGUAAAACUUGAGGAGAAUGACAUGGGAAUAUCCCCAACUGUCCCAUGGUCUUCGUGUUCCUAUGUGGGUUUACCAAAAGAGCAUUCACAUGUACCUUCCAUCAGUUCCCAAACAACAAGCCAAGGGCAGAUUUUACGUAUUUUCCCUGAAAAGACAGGCCCAAGUGAUGGGGAGAAUAAUGCUGUCAAAGUGGUUUAUUUCUGUAAUGCCCAAGAUCCCGUUAGCACAUCUGAAGGACAUUUUCUCAAAGAGGAGUCAUGGCAUGGAUCACCGUCCAGUGAUAUUCCCAUAGCAAAUGCAUUCACCCUCUGUGGUUCAUUUGAAGCUCAAAUCAACCCAUCUUCACAGGUGUUUAGCGUAAACCAAACCCAGACCAAUAAUGAAUUGCCAUUGCCUGCUGACAAUGUUCAUCUAGCAAGAUAUAGUACUGACACUCCUUCUGUGCUAACCUCGCCUGCUACAGAAAGCGGCUGCAAUUUAGCUGUAUCUACUAGAUCGAGGCCUAUUCUUUCCGAUUGUGAGCCAUUCAACUUUCCUUCUGAUGAAGACGAAGACUACAAUGGCGAUGAAAGACGAAGACUGCAAUGCCAAAAAACGAUAGAUGAGUAUAUACGGCAGUGUCGUGUCAGUUACUCAAGAAAAACCCCAAGACAGUUUGGAAGGUUUUGGAAAGCUCCAUACCCGAAGUGCAAAGAACUGGGUGUAGAUUUCAAUGUUGGAUCUGGAGCGAAACAGAAACUUGAUCGUCAUUUACUGACAAAUGGUGUAAUGGUUGAGGUGUCUCAAUAUGCUAGAGAGAUUAAUAGAGCUCACCAGCAUGUUAUCUAUGAUAUUCUAGAAUACAACUUUGAUCUUGGUGUUGGUAAUGUACGAUAUGAAUUUUCCUCCCGGACUUUGUUAAAACUAAAAGAAAUGAAAAAGAAUACCAGGAGGACACAACCUGAGUGGUUAGCAGAAGUGUUUGAACUUCCUGAUCCAAAGAUACUCAAAGCAAGCAACUCCUCUCUUAAACGGGCAAGAUCCAAUUUGCAUAGCAGCGUCUCAGAAAAUCGAACACCCUUUGACGUCUGUAUAAAGGAGGAGUCUGUUCUGGACUUGAUAUCUCCUCCGCAUGUGAAGACUGAAAGCCUCUUUACUGAGACAGUUUUAACACGGUGUGCGGAUGAGACUGCACUCCUUGGCCCUGAAAAGGGACCUAAUGAAAAAUGCACAAAGGAUGAGGCUGAUCUGGAUGUGAUCUAUCCUCAACAUGUCCAGACAGAAACCAUCUUCACUCAGACAGACAUAACAAUGAAGCAAUCCUUAAUGAUGCCCACACUAGAAGAAGCAUUGGAGUACCUCUACCCUCUCUGUAAGGAAAAAGGACUUGACCUGGAUGUGAAGUCUAAAUGUGUGAAAAUGGAUAAACUUGACUUGCAUCUAUUGACCAGAGAUGUCAUGUUAGAAUUGGCUGAUUUUGCUUCAGAUGUGUGUGGAACUUACAGGCAGGUUGUCUGUGAUGUUCUAGAACAAAAUUUUGAUCUGGAUUUACAAAGUGGGAAAACUGAGCUCGCUGUAGAUAUUAUGUAUAAGCUACACGCUUUGUUGAAAAUGACAGAUAUACAAAAGCGAAGGAGAUGUGGAUAUGACAAGGAUACUUUCAUGAAAAAACGACCCAAACAUAAGAAUCCCGCAGUGAUUUUCCGUAGACUGAAUUUCACUACAGCAUCACUUGUGCCGAAAUACCGAAGACUGAAAGAAAUAACAAAAAGGAGGAGGUUGGAUUUAAUGAGAAAAAAAAGAGAAAUGGACAUGUUAAUAGCCAGGGUGUCGAAGGGGGGCAAUUUGCUGGAAGUCAGACAAGUAGAACCUCAUUGGGUCAAGCUAGAGAGCAUCUCUGAUAAGAUUGACCUUUGUGCUGAUGAAACAAAGCAAAAUGUUACCAUCUUAGAACAUUCAAAUGUGACGUUUAACACUAAAGAACUGGUGAAAGACUGCUACCCACUCUGUCAUGAAAUAGGUCUGGGCCUUGAUGUUGCAUCCAAACCUGCAUUCACUCACUGUGGUUCAUUUGAAGCUCAAAUCAACCCAACUUUACAGGUGUUUAGCGUAAACCAAACCCAGACUAAUAAUGAAUUGCCAUUGCCUGCUGACAAUGUUCAUCUAGCAAGAUAUAGUACUGACACUACUUCUGUGCUAACCUCACCUGCUACAGAAAGCGGAUGUAAUUUAGCUGUAUCUACUAGACCGAGGCCUAUUCUUUCCGAUUAUUGUGAGCCAUUCAACUUUCCUUCUGAUGAAGACGAAGACUACUAUGGCGAUGAAAGACGAAGACUGCAAUGCCAAAAAACGAUAGAUGAGUAUAUACGGCAGUGUCGUGUCAGUUACUCAAGAAAAACCCCAAGACAGUUUGGAAGGUUUUGGAAAGCUCCAUACCCGAAGUGCAAAGAACUGGGUGUAGAUUUCAAUGUUGGAUCUGGAGCGAAACAGAAACUUGAUCGUCAUUUACUGACAAAUGGUGUAAUGGUUGAGGUGUCUCAAUAUGCUAAAGAGAUUAAUAGAGCUCACCAGCAUGUUAUCUCUGAUAUUCUAGAAUACAACUUUGAUCUUGGUAUUGGUGAUGAAGUACGAUAUGAAUUUUCCGCCCGGACUUUGUUAAAACUAAAAGACAUGAAAAAAAAUCACAGGAGGACACAACCUGAGUGGUUAGCAGAAGUGUUUGAACUUCCUGAUCCAAAGACAAUCAAAGCAAGAGACUCCUCUCUUAAAUGGGCAAGGUCCAAUUUGCAUAGCAGCGUCUCAGAAAAUCGAACACCCUUUGACGUCUGUAUAAAGGAGGAGUCUGUUGUGGACUUGAUAUCUCCUCUGCAUGUGAAGACUGAAAGCCUCUUUACUGAGACAGUUUUAACACGGUGUGCGGAUGAGACUGCACUCCUUGGCCCUGAAAAGGGACCUAAUGAAAUAUGCACAAAGGAUGAGGCUGAUCUGGAUGUGAUCUAUCCUCAACAUGUCCAGACAGAAACCACAAUAGAAGAAGCAUUGGAGUACCUCUACCCUCUCUGUAAAGAAAAAGGACUUGACCUGGAUGUGAAAUCUAAAUUUGUGAAAAAGGAUAAACUUGACUUGCAUCUAUUGACCAGAGAUGUCAUGUUAGAAUUGGCUGAUUUUGCCUCCGAUGUGUGUGGAACUUACAGGCAGGUUGUCUGUGAUGUUCUAGAACAAAAUUUUGAUCUGGAUUUACAAAGUGGGAAAACUGAGCUGGCUCAUGAGAUUAUGGAUGUGAUAGGAUCAGUUUUGAGGAGAAGGACACAGUUACAAGGUCAAAGGAGAUGUGAAUUUUACAAGGAUACUUUCAUGAAAAAACGUCGCAAACAAAGGAAUUCUGCAGAGAUUUCCAAUAACCAGAAGGCCACUACAGCAACACUUGAGCCGAAAUACCAAAGGCUGAAAGAAGUAACAAAAAGGAGGAGGUUGGCUUUAAUGAAGAAUAAAAAAGAAAUGGACAUGUUAAUAGCCAGGGCGUCGAAGGGAGGCAAUUUGCUGGAAGUCAAGCUAGAGAGCAUCUCUGAUUAAGAUUGACCUUGCACUUUGUGCUGAUGAAACGAAGCAAAAUGUUACCAACUUAGACCAAUCAUAUGUGACGUUUAACACACAAAUGGGUGUAAGAGUGCUACCCGAUCUCUCAUGAAGUAGGUCUGGACAUUGAUGUUGCAUCCAAACCUGCACAAACGAAACAAAUUGAAUUUACUGACUAACACUGUUGUUAUCGAGGUUCAUACAUACUUGCGUAAGAAUCGUUGAGGUAAGAUUGGAUUGGAAAAGAUGGGUGGGUAUUUUGUUUGCUCUCUGAUAUUCUAAAAUACAAUUUUGAUCAUAGUUUGCAAAAUCAGAGACGUUAUCAAUUUCUAUUAUGGAUUUCGAGUAAAGUGACGGUUCGGAAACACAAACCUAAGCUCUUGGGAAAGGGUGAAAUGUCGAAAGAAGUGUUCAUAAUACCAAGUGUGAUUUCAUAGCCGUGCAACAAAAAACAAACCCAGUGCUUUCAGAUCAUUUUCCUAAAAGAAUGUCAAAUCUCAGGGGAGAAAAAAAAUGGAACAAGAUGCAAGACUGGUAUAUCCUAAUCAUGGUCAACACAAUCGCCACGAAGAGCAUUUAAUCAAAGAUUGUUCAUGGAAUGGCUCAACGCCCAUUGAUAUUCUGACAGGAAAUGUAUUCAGCCUCCCAGAAUUGUCACUACGCAUUGCAGAAAAGGGUUAUUUUGAAAGUCAAGUCAAUCCAACUUCAGAUAUUUAGCCAAACACCAACUGAACGACAACAGCAGGCCAACAAUCUCCCAAAAUAUGGUACUGCUGUACCUUUUGUGCUAUCCUCAUCUGCUACAGCAAUCGGCUGUAAUGUAGAACUACCUACUAGUCCUCCUCUUCCAGCCAAUUGUAAAUCAUUUGAACUUUCCCUCUGAAGUCUACAAUGUCAAAAAUUCAGAGGAUGAGUAUGAACUCAGCAGAAAAAGAAACGUCCUCUCACUGUCGACUGCAUUUAUUUUCAGCAAACUUAACAUGUGUAAAUAUUUGUAUGAACAUAAGAUUAAACAACUGAGACAUAAACUCAACAAGUUCCACAGACAUCUGACUAACCGUAAUGGAAGAAUGUGUCCCUGAACAAGGGGGUCAAAAGUAAGUCAGUAUCUGGUGUGGCCACCAGCUGCAUUAAGUACUGCAGUAAAUCUCCUCACCAGAUUUGCCAGUUCUUGCUGUAAGAUACCCCACUCUUCUACCAAGGCACCUGUAAGUUUACAGACAUUUCUGAGGGGAUUGGCCCUAACCCUUAUCCUCUGAUCCUUCAGGUCCCAGACGUGCCCAAUGGGAUUGAGAUCCGGGCUCUUUGCUGGCCAUGGCAAAACACUGACAUUCAUGUGUUGCAGGAAAUCACGCACAGAACGAGCAGUAUGGCUGGUGGCAUUGUCAUGCAGGAGGGUCAUGUCAGGAUGAGCCCGCAGGAAGGGUACCACAUGAGGGAGGAGGAUGUCUUCCAUGUAACGCACAACUUUGAGAUUGCCUGCAAUGACAACAAACUCAGUCCGAUGAUGCUGUGACACACCGCCCCAGACCAUGACGGACCCUCCACCUCCAAAUCGAUCCCGCACUAGGGUACAGGCCUCAGUGUAAUGCUGAUUCCUUCGACGAUAAGUGCGAAUCUGGGGUUUGUGCCCAACAUUGUUGCACAAACCCCAAACCCAACAACUGGGUUUGUGCCCAACACUGUUGCUGGUGAUAUCUGUUGAGGACCUGCCUUACAACAGGCCUACAAGCCCUCAGUCCAGUCUCUCUGUCUAUUGCGGAUAGUUUGAGCUCUGAUGGAGGGAUUGUGCGUUCCUGGUGUAACUCGGGCAGUUGUUGUUGCCAUCCUGUACCUGUCCCGCAGGUGUAAUGUUCGAAAGUACCGAUCCUGUGCAGGUGUUGUUACACGUGGUCUGCCACUGUGAGAACGAUCAGCUGUCCGUCCUGUCUCCCUGUAGCGCUGUCUUAGGCGUCUCACAGUACGGACAUUACAAUUUAUUGCCCUGGCCACAUCUCCAGUCCUCAUGCCUCCUUGCAGCAUGCCUAAGGCACGUCCACGCAGAUGAGCAGGGACCAUGGGCAUUUUCUUUUGGUGAUUUUCAGAGUCAGUAGAACGGUGUCUUUAGUGUUUAAGUUUUUAUAACUGUGACCUUCAUUUCCUACAGUCUUUACGCUGUUAGUGUCUUAAUUACCGUUCUACAGCUGCAUGUUCGUUAAUUGUUUAUGGUUCAUUGUGCAAGCAUGGGAAACUGUUUAAACCCUUUACAAUGAAGAUCUGUGAAGUUAUUUGGAUUUUUACGAUUUAUCUUUGAAAGACAGGGUCCUGAAAAGGGGACAUGUUCUUUUUUUUUCUGAGUUUAUUUGUCAGUGUCGUCAGUUGCUCAACCUUUCCCAAAAUGGGCUGGAAGAUAUUUGAAAGUGCCAAGAAAUAGGCUUAGAAUUAAUUGAAUGUCGGAACUGGAGCAAAAUAUAAUCUUGAUUUGCAUUUUUACUGACUAAUGCCGUAAUGGUUGAGGUUUCGGAUUUAAGUAUGUGGAUUAGUAGAGCUUGCCAACAUGUCUGAGAUAUUGUAGAGUACAACUUUGAUCUUCUUUUGCAAAAUGCGUAACGAUAUUACUUUAAAAAUGGACAGAAGCAAGAUGCAUUACAAGAGAAGAACCUGGGUGGUUAACAUAAUUGUUUGAACUUCCUGAUCCAAAGACAAUGAAAGCAGGACAAUACUCUCUUACAUGGGCAAAAAGCUAUUUGCAUACAGUGCCUUCGGAAAGUUUUCAGACCCCUUGACAUUUUCCACAUUUUGUUAAGUUACAGCCUUUUUGUCAAAUUGAUUAAAUUAAACAAUGUCCUUAGCAAUCGGCGUUCAAAAGUGCUACCCACGCUGCAAGGAAAUGGGCCUGGACCUCGACGUUGCAUCCAAACCUGCAAAAAACAAAACACACAUUUUAGUUACUGGUAAUGGUGUAAAUAUUUAAUAAUAGAAUGUAAAAAGGCUAAAGGAUAUGCAUCUUUUCUCUAUGAUAGUCCAGAAUACAUUGUUGAUCUUAAAGUGGAACUGAUAGCGUUUUAGCAAUAUGCAAUCUUAGAUCUGUUCAUAUACAUCCCAGGAAGAUUAUAUAUAUAUAUAUUUUUUAACGUUUUCUGACACGUGAACACUUUUAGAUAUGGUCAUUUUUAUAAAUUCAUUGAAUGUUUGAGAAUGAAGUAUAGUAAGGCAUUUGUGAAAAUUCUAUGAGAAUAUUGUCAGAGGACAGACCCAGUUUUUGAAAUUAUUUUUAUUGACUGUUCAACUCAAUCUGAUCUUGGACAGUUUUUUUUAGUUUACCAGUGAUUUUGUGUGGCCUACCACUUCGCGGCUGAGCCGUUGUUGCUCCUAGACGUUUCCACUUCAAAAUACCACUUACAGUUGACCGGAGCAGAAAUUUGACAAACUGACUUAUUGGAAAGGUGUCAUCCUAUGACGGUGCCAUGUUGAAAGUCACUGAGCUCUACAGUAAAGCAAUUCUACUGCCAAUGAUUGUCUAUGGAGAUUUUAUACACCUGUUAGCAACGGGUGUGACUGAAAUAGCCGAACCCACUUAUUUGAAGGUGUCCAAAUACUUUUGUGUUAACGGUUAAGUAUUUGAAUAGUGGAUUUUGCAGAUUCCCUUGGCCUCCUGUUGGUUCACUUUUGUUCUUGCUGUGUUUUAUUUCUAGCCUUUAGUCUUUCAACGACAUGUUCAUUGAUGAGCCUAACUUUUCUACCUUUGAAAGCCUCUGUAGAUUAACCUUCUGAUCUUAUUUUUUUGAUGUAAAUAAGGCGAACAAUGAUAUUUUUUUCUAAUUUAAGAGUUGGCCUAGGCAUUGGUAAAAAACCUAUGGAUCAUGUUUUUCUUUUUGUAAGUUUGUUUUUCAGCCAUUUUUGGAGUGACUUAUCUGUGGGCUAGUUCUUUUUUUCUUUGAGGAGGAGAGAUUAAGAAAACACUGCUUCAAGACUUGCUUUGCAGUUACCCAGUUACUUUUCUCUUAAGGUCAACUAUGAAGUGAAAGUAUUUUUAAGGACACACUUUCAUUGACAUUCGUAGGUGUACCUCUGACACCUGUUGCAUCACAAGGUAUGCAAGUAAAUGUGUGACAGAUGCGCAUUGCAGCUUUUUCUACUGCUUGCCAUUCAAACUUUAAAACAUGCAAACCGGUCUGGAAUGGUGUGCUUGUAUACAGUGUUUUGAUACCAGUUAUUCUAGAGCCCGACGGAUAUGGGAUUUUUGUAUCCAAUUUUAGAGGGGAAAUAUUCACAGAUAAUUGAUAUUGGGCCUAUAUUUUUAUGAUUUUAGCUUUUCUGUAUGGAUUGUGAUUAAAAAGAUACUCAAAGAACAUUUAAUAUAAGCACCACAGAAAAAUUAGGAGCACUAGAAAGAUGCAGGAAAGAAAGUAAAUAAAAAAAUGUUCUCUAGUGAAAGGAAGAUAUACCACCCUGAUUCCAGGAAACAACAUGAGCCUCUGAAGACUGAGCGGCCCCAUGCCAGAAUGAGGCAUUCCAUUUGUAGGGCUGUAGCCACUGGUAGUUGUCACUUGCAAGAUACAACAUUUUACGCUGGCACUGUGCUGCCUCUCGCCCCUAAGUGUUGCUUCAGUGAAUGGUCCUUGCUAUCCGGGAUCCGUGAGACAUCGCUACCGCAUAGUUUUGAAACACCAUGUAAACACUGAGAAUGUAAAGCAACUUUUUUGUCUACCUGCCAUUUUCUUUGUUGGACUUUUUGUCACCUUUUUUAGACAAAUGAGUGAAUUGUCUUUGUUUAUAUUUUAAUUUUUUAAUGUUUAAUUUUUUUUAGUCAUUUUGACUCUUAUCCAAGUGCUUACAGUUUCGUGGAUGUUUUUGUGAUAUUCAUUUUUCUGAGCAGAUGUUAGUUUCAGCCAUUUUUGGAGGUUGAUUUAUUUAGUUUAUUAGUCUUCAUACUUCUACAAUUGUGGACUGCCUCAAAGGAGUUUCUUUCUGGCAUACUUUGGAGUGUCUUUGGAACAAAGGGUGCUGCGUCUCUGUGUCAACCGGCUGAGCAUGCGCCCCAAAAGCAGGAUGGUCUUUCUGUCCUCUCUGCCAUGUUUGAUGGAACUCUACAGAAAUGAACGUGGUACCUGCAGGCGUUUGGAAAUUGCUCCCAAGGAUGAACCAGACUUGUGGAGGUCUACAAUAUUUUUUCUUGGCUGAUUUCUUUUGAUUUUCCCAUGAUGUCAAGUAAAGAGGCACUGAGUUUGAAGACUACCAUGGUGGUUUCCAGACUGGGACAGACUGGGAAGGGGAAACAAGUGAACAGAUAUUCGCCAGGACAAUCGCAGAAUGGUCACCAUGGAAACAUACCACCUGUACCAGUUCAGGACAUGAGAUCGCCACGUUGACCAUCUUUAAGACGAAACAGUCUCUGGGUAUCAGUAUCUCAGGUGGGAUGGAGAAUGAGAUGAUGUUUCCAGGAGGAGCUGCCUCUACCAGUGACGUUCUGAUGCUUCUUUAGGAGCUCACUGUAAUAUUCCGUCAUGAUUUAAUCCAAGCUGAGCCAUAUAAUACAAGGCGUGGUAUGAGCUGGUUUCAGUGGACGGUGAGUCUCUGCAGCGUGUGACCCAUCAGCAUGCAGUGUUCAGCAACAAGGCCAAAGACCCCGUGGUGUUUGUCAAGAUCCUCACUGUCAGGCUUACACAAGUACUACACACAGUGUUUUUAUUGAACCUUUAUUGAACUAGGAAAGUCAUUUUAAGGACAAAUUCUUAUUUACAAUGACGGUCUACACCGGCCAAACCCGGACGACGCUGGGCCAAUUGUGCGCCGUCCUAUGGGGACUCGCAAUCACAACCAUAUGUGAUCCAUUCUGGAUUCGAACCAGAGACUGUAGUGACGCCUCUUGCACUGAGAUGUAGUGCCUUAGACUGCUGCGCCACUCGAGAGCUCAGUACUGCUGGCCUGUCUACAAGAAUGCUCUGAGGUGCAGUUCACCCAUCCACUGGAAAUGGAAAUGAUUUGAAAUGGUGGUGUUCAAACCAUGUCGACUUAAAGAGGAUGAGGAUUCCCCUGACGCAGAUGGUUCGCUCCAGCUAGGCUGCAAUGGAAGGGAAUGGUCUAUUCCCCGAGGAGAGGAGCAUGGGUACCUCGGGACCAAUGAGCAUGGGUACCUAACCUGGGACCAAUAAGCUUGCUUCUCUAGGGCAAAAAGGUUAAUGGUUGUUUGCAUAGCAAACAGGAAAUACUGCAAAAUUAAAAUGUUUUUUUUUUUUACACAUGUGGGAUUACUGUGCUUGCUUUGUGUAUAACAAUAAUGUGAUAAAUACUAUUUAUCAAAUAUGAA
Oncorhynchus nerka (sockeye salmon) is the source of this 10560-nucleotide long non-coding RNA. RefSeq lists it as uncharacterized. Lineage: Eukaryota; Metazoa; Chordata; Actinopteri; Salmoniformes; Salmonidae. The record is from RefSeq and is a predicted model, not a curated record. The transcript is spliced from 6 exons.